This 301-nucleotide ribosomal RNA is filed under the name uncultured bacterium. RNAcentral's name for it is "partial 16S ribosomal RNA". It matches the Rfam family "Bacterial small subunit ribosomal RNA", at positions 509 to 809 of the family's 1533-position model. The record is from RNAcentral.
CAGCCGCCGCGGUAAAACAGAGGGUGCGAGCGUUAAUCGGAUUUACUGGGCGUAAAGCGUGCGUAGGCGGCUUCUUAAGUCGGAUGUGAAAUCCCUGAGCUUAACUUAGGAAUUGCAUUCGAUACUGGGAAGCUAGAGUAUGGGAGAGGAUGGUAGAAUUCCAGGUGUAGCGGUGAAAUGCGUAGAGAUCUGGAGGAAUACCGAUGGCGAAGGCAGCCAUCUGGCCUAAUACUGACGCUGAGGUACGAAAGCAUGGGGAGCAAACAGGAUUAGAUACCCGGGUAGUCCCUGUCUCUUAUAA